GGAGUAAGCCAGACCGCCGCUGGUGCAAUCGCCGAAAGGCCGCACUGGAGGAAGGUCCGGACUGCACAGGGCAGCGCAGGAGGUAACGCCUCCCCACCGCAAGGUGCGAAUCAGAGCCACAGAGACGAGCCGGUUCAGUCCGGAGUGAAACGCGGCAAUCUUUGCGCGCAGCAACACCAAGUAGGCCGGCGGUGAGGUGGCCCGCGGAGCCGGCGGGUAGGUGGCAUCGAGCUGGGUGAGCGAUCGCCCGGCCCAGACGAAUGGCGGUCACGGCCGCGGCUUCGCAAGAGGCUGCGGCUGCACAGAAUCCGGCCUAUCGGCUUGCUUCACAU
This 332-nucleotide RNase P RNA is filed under the name Burkholderiaceae bacterium. RNAcentral's name for it is "RNase P RNA component class A". It matches the Rfam family "Bacterial RNase P class A". From Rfam's summary of the family: Ribonuclease P (RNase P) is a ubiquitous endoribonuclease, found in archaea, bacteria and eukarya as well as chloroplasts and mitochondria. Its best characterised activity is the generation of mature 5'-ends of tRNAs by cleaving the 5'-leader elements of precursor-tRNAs. Lineage: Bacteria; Pseudomonadati; Pseudomonadota; Betaproteobacteria; Burkholderiales; Burkholderiaceae. The record is from RNAcentral.